Molecule: transfer RNA, 77 nt
Filed under: Acidobacteriota bacterium
Lineage: Bacteria; Pseudomonadati; Acidobacteriota
Description: Acidobacteria bacterium tRNA-Pro
Rfam family: tRNA
About the family: Transfer RNA (tRNA) molecules are approximately 80 nucleotides in length. Their secondary structure includes four short double-helical elements and three loops (D, anti-codon, and T loops).
Source: RNAcentral
CGGGAUGUGGCGCAGCCUGGUAGCGCGCUCGCUUGGGGUGCGAGAGGUCGCUGGUUCGAAUCCAGUCAUCCCGAUCA